This 497-nucleotide ribosomal RNA is filed under the name uncultured bacterium. Its description in RNAcentral is "partial 16S ribosomal RNA". It matches the Rfam family "Bacterial small subunit ribosomal RNA", at positions 28 to 507 of the family's 1533-position model. The record is from RNAcentral.
GAUGAACGCUGGCGGCGUGCCUAAUACAUGCAAGUCGAGCGAACAGACGAGGAGCUUGCUCCUCUGACGUUAGCGGCGGACGGGUGAGUAACACGUGGAUAACCUACCUAUAAGACUGGUAUAACUUCGGGAAACCGGAGCUAAUACCGGAUAAUAUAUUGAACCGCAUGGUUCAAUAGUGAAAGACGGUUUUGCUGUCACGUAUAGAGGGAUCCGCGCCGCAUUGGCUAGUUGGUAAGGUAACGGCUUACCAAGGGGAGGAUGCGUAGGCGACGUGAGAGGGUGAUAGGCCACACGGGAACUGAGCCACGGUCCAGACUCCUACGGGAGGCAGCAGUAGGGAAUCUUCCGCAAUGGGCGAAAGCCUGACGGAGCAACGCGGAGUGAGUGACGACGGCCUUCGGAUCGUAAAACUCUGUUACUAGGGAAGAACAAAUGUGUAAGUAACUAUGCACGUCUUGACGGUACCUAAUCAGAAAGCAACGGCUAACUACGUG